This 29-nucleotide non-coding RNA is filed under the name Mus musculus (house mouse). Lineage: Eukaryota; Metazoa; Chordata; Mammalia; Rodentia; Muridae. The record is from RNAcentral.
UGAAAUGAGAAAGAGCCAGUUCCCCACCC